RNAcentral lists this ribosomal RNA (473 nucleotides) under uncultured bacterium. RNAcentral's name for it is "bacterial SSU rRNA". It matches the Rfam family "Bacterial small subunit ribosomal RNA", at positions 328 to 793 of the family's 1533-position model. The record is from RNAcentral.
CGCUAUCACUCCUACGGGAGGCAGCAGUGGGGAAUAUUGCACAAUGGGCGCAAGCCUGAUGCAGCCAUGCCGCGUGUGUGAAGAAGGCCUUCGGGUUGUAAAGCACUUUCAGUCGUGAGGAAGGUAGUGUAGUUAAUAGCUGCAUUAUUUGACGUUAGCGACAGAAGAAGCACCGGCUAACUCCGUGCCAGCAGCCGCGGUAAUACGGAGGGUGCGAGCGUUAAUCGGAAUUACUGGGCGUAAAGCGCAUGCAGGCGGUUUGUUAAGCUAGAUGUGAAAGCCCCGGGCUCAACCUGGGAUGGUCAUUUAGAACUGGCAGACUAGAGUCUUGGAGAGGGGAGUGGAAUUCCAGGUGUAGCGGUGAAAUGCGUAGAUAUCUGGAGGAACAUCAGUGGCGAAGGCGACUCCCUGGCCAAAGACUGACGCUCAUGUGCGAAAGUGUGGGUAGCGAACAGGAUUAGAUACCCUGGUAG